Molecule: long non-coding RNA, 399 nt
Organism: Homo sapiens (human)
Lineage: Eukaryota; Metazoa; Chordata; Mammalia; Primates; Hominidae
Exons: 2
Source: RefSeq, a predicted model, not a curated record
CACACCCACCAGCACCAUGACAGUUUACUGUUGCCAUAGUAACAUCAGGUUGUUAUCCUCUAUGGUCUAAAAAGGGGGGAACCAUCAGUUCGGGGAAUUGCCCACCCCUGUCCAGGAAAACUCAUAAACAGCCCAGCCCUUGUUUGGUAUAUAAUCAAGAAAUAACUCCUCAGAAGAUAAAUAUUUCUUGUGGUACCUCUGACAUGGCAACAUGCCCAUGCACGUCGGCAGUGAAUAGAUGGGGUUGGUGGAUGGAAAUGGCAAACAGACCGGACAGACCUCACCCAAAACUUAACAGCAGCAGGCCCUGAGAGGGCCAGUGAAUCUCUCCAUGAUCCUUGGUUAGUGGUCAAUCUGAAGCUUUUCUUACCGAAACAAAUAAAGAUAUGUCUACAACAA